This 227-nucleotide long non-coding RNA is filed under the name Mytilus galloprovincialis (Mediterranean mussel). The record is from RNAcentral. Lineage: Eukaryota; Metazoa; Mollusca; Bivalvia; Mytilida; Mytilidae.
CUGUAUUUCAUUGUUAGCUAUUCAGGACAGGCUCUGAAUAUAACUAAUAAUAAUAAACAUUUUUUUUAUGUAACUGGUGAGGUAUCAGUUACACAUAUAUACAAAAAUGUCAGAAAGAGGUCUUCUGACUAAAUUCACUAGAAAUUAGUAUUUUCUCUUCGGGUAAUUUAUUUUCUUACUAAGAUAGCAGGACUCAGCCUUUUUAUGUAUUUUUCUGACACACCAAC